This 5027-nucleotide long non-coding RNA is filed under the name Salvia miltiorrhiza (redroot sage). Its description in RNAcentral is "long non-coding RNA (SMIL_LNC000469)". Lineage: Eukaryota; Viridiplantae; Streptophyta; Magnoliopsida; Lamiales; Lamiaceae. The record is from RNAcentral.
AAUACUCACCGUGCAUCGCACAGGAGAUCGUUCUAGUAUAUAUGAAACACUAGUUUUUGUUUCCGCCAAUUUUUCUCUUUCCUUCCACUAUGCAUUUUUCCACAUUUUCUCUCUCUUCUCUCUAUCACACGUUUUGUUUUUUUAACUAUUUUUUUCAUACAAUUUCUCUCUCUUCUACUCUCUCUUUCAUACUUGAGUGAUUUUCUUAAAAAAAAAUAAAAGAAAUUUUCUCAAUUUCUUCCAUGAAGAUGAUAUACAUGGUUAGUUAUUUGAAUUAUUUAUGUUCGCAGUAGUCCUUUUUCCCAACUGAUAUUUCGAAGGGAAAUAUUAUGUUCAUUUUGUUGUUUCAUCAAAUCUAUGUUCUCUAAAGUAUGAGUAAUGUGAUGAUUGUAGGUUGAAGAAAGAUAAGGAAUGUGAGGCAUUGUACAGGGAGAGAUUGCUAUAGAGUGAUAUGUGACUAGUGCAAUCAAGACUCUCGGUUCGCCUUAUGUCUAGUCCAACUAGAGCUUGAUUGUGUUAAUCUAGUUUUUUAGUUAUUACUAUUUCCAAUAAGAAAAUUCUUUGCAAAGGGAAAUAAGGGUUAAAAGGCACAUUACUUCAUCAAUUUCUAUUAUUCUUUCAAUCAAUAAUACAAUAUGUCUCGAGUAACUAUUCCACCAUAGACUUACCCGAGGCUGGGGAUGAAGUGACACUAUACGGAAGACCCUCUUAAUAUUUAUCUGGUUCCAAAGUCACAGAAAACAAAUAAUUCAAUAUUAAAACAGACAACCACCAUAAAAAACAUUAGCAUCAUUAAGCUCAAUAUCCAUGCAUCUCAAAGCAAUGAAAAGGAAGAGAAUGAUACAGUAAAGGGCCAUCUUAAGGGAACCAGAUAAAACUGGGAACCUAGGGCUAUCCGCAGACUGUUCACGACAUAGUUCCUGGUCAUUGUCCACAAAUUCCUCCAAUUUAUCCAACAAAUCCUCUGCCCGCUGAUUUUGGCUCUGUGGGUCUGAGGAAUCAAAUAUGUAGCCACAAGAAUUAUGACCGGCUACAAAGAAUUCAAAAAUGCAAGUAUCUGCAAAGAAAAAUCUCACAUUACGAGCUUUACAUAUUUCAUGGAAGUGGAAGCUACACUAACUCAGAAAAAGCAUAGAGUUUAAAACUGCUGCAAAGAAGACUCCAUUUAUAUAUCAAAUUUGCAAAUAAACCACAUAUCCAGAUUUUUUCAUGAAAGAUAUGAAACUACACUGAGUAAAGGAGAUUACAUGGGUCAAGAACUUGGAGAAAGAAAGCGUAGAUUGAGCCGACUUCCAAAAGAAUGGAUUCGUGUCAACUACAAAAUUCAAAUUGUUCAUCAGAAUAAGGUUAGAUAGAAUUUGCAAGCUGAAGGCAUACUUCCAAACUAGAGUGAAUGAUUUCUCAAUACACACAGAGAAGAAAAGAGGACCUGCAUAAAGCUUGGAUGAGACAUGGGUCAUCUUUCCCCUGUAAUCUGAAAUUUAAUAAAGGAAUGUAGCUUCAAGAAAAAAAAUUCAUAAAAUCAAUCAAAUACUUGAGAAAGUUUGAUAAAAUCAUAAAAGUUAAGGCGUCUCCAACCGAACGGCAUCUGUGCUUUGCAGUAAAAAAUAUGCUCCAACCGAACACUAACGGCAAAUGCUUUAAGCCUUCUUUUCAGUGUCUCGACAGUAGAAAUUUAUAUUUGUAAAAAGUUCGCAAUAGCCCCUGAUGUUGAGGGAUCGUUGUUGCUUUGGAGAUGGAAGUAAAUUAUGGCUCACAUUUAGGGCUUUAAGAAGUGAGGAAGAUAUGAAAUUGACCUUGAAUCGAACAAACAACAGCAGACAGCGGCCGGUGGCUGCUUACGAUGAGCGACACGCAUACCAGACUCAAGACGGCGUCGAUUUCACAGCGACGGUGACUACUGAAACGACGCGGCGACGACCGAUGAUUGUUGACAAUGAGCGACGGGUAGACCAGACACGAACGGCAAUAAUUCGGCAAAUAAAUUACUCCCUCUGUCCACAAUUUAAAGCCCUACUAGUCCUUAAAUUUUUGUCCACAAAUUGAAGCCCUAUUAUGCUUUUUUGUAUUUUUUUACUCUCCUUCUUUUCCUAUAUUUAUUACCCUUUUCUCACUUUUAUAUUCUAUAUUUACUACACUUUAUCACUAGUGGACUCAAAAGGCAAUAAAUAUUGAUGUGCACUCAAAAAUUUAUUGUAGAAUGAAAGUUUUCUCAAUUUCAUUACUAUUUGGAAUGUUAAUGUAACAUCAUUAUUAUCUUGAAUGUUAAUGUAACAUCAUGACUUAUUGCCGUUUGAGUGCACAUCAUUACUAUCCGGAAUGUUAAUGUAACAUGGAAGUUUUCUCAAUUUAUUCCAUGAAGAUGAUACACAUGGUUAGUUAUUUGAAUUAUUUAUGUUCGCAGUAGUCCUUUUUCUCAACUGAUAUUUCGAAGGGAUAUAUUGUGUUCAUGUCGUUGUUUCAUCAAAUCUAUAAUCUCUAAAGUAUGAGUAAUGCUAUGAUUUCAGCUAUUAUUCUUAUUUUGAUAAGGAAUGUGAUAAUUGCAGGUUGAAGAAAGAUAAGGAAUGUGAGGCAUUGGACAGGGAGAGAUUGCUACAGAGUGAUAUGUGAGUAGUGCAAUCAAGACUCUCGGUUCACCUUAUGUCUAAUCCAACUAGAGCUUGAAUGUGUUAAUCUAGUUUUUGAGUUAUUACUAUUUCCAAUAAGAAAAUUCUUCGCCAAGGGAAAUAAGGGUUGAAAGGCACAUUACUUCAUCAACUUCUAUUAUUCUUUCAAUCAAUAAUACAAUAUGUAUCGAGUAACUAUUCCACCAUAGACAACCCGAGGCUGGGGAUGAAGCGACACUGUACGGAAGACCCUCUGAAUAUCUAUCUGGUUCCAAAGUCACAGAAAACAAAUAAUUCAAUAUUAAAACAGACAACCACUACAAAAAACAUUAACAUCAUUAAGUUGAAUAUCCAUGCAUCUCAAAGCAAUCAAAAGGAAGAGAAGGAUACAACAAAGGGCCAUCUUGACGGAACCAGAUAAAAGUGAGAACCCAGGGCCAUCCGCAGACUGUUCACGACAUAGUUCCUGGUCAUCGUUCACAAAUUCCUCCAAUUUAUCCCGCAAAUCCUCUGCCCGCUGAUUUUAGCUUUGUGGGUCUGAGGAAUCAAAUAUGUAGCCAUAAGAAUUAUAACCAGCUGCAAAGAAUUCAAAAAUGCAAGUACAUGCAAAGAAAAAUCCCACAUUACCAGCUUUACAUAUUUCAUUGUAGUGGAGGCUACACUAACUCAGCAAAAGCAUAGAGUUUAAAACUACUGCAAAGCAAACUCCAUUUAUAUAUCAAAUUUGCAAAUAAAGCACAAAUCCAUAUUUUUUUAUGAAAGAGAUGAAACUACACUGAGUAAAGGAGAUUACAUGGGUCAAGAACUUGGAGAAAGAAAACGUGGAUUGAGCCGACUUCCAAAAGAAUGGUUUUGUGUCAAUUAGUACCAACAACAGGCUCACAUCAUUUGCAAAAUUCAAAUUGUUCAUAAGAGUAAGGUCCGAUAGAAUUUGCAAGCUGAAGGCAUACUUCAAAAAUAGAGUGAAUGAUUUCUCAAUACACACAGAGAAGAAAAGAGGACCUGCAUAAAGCUUGGAUGAGACAUGGGUCAUCUUUCCUCUAUUAUCUGAAAUUUAAUGAAGGAAUGUUGCUUCAAGAAAAAAAAAAUCAUAAAAUCAAUCACAAGCUUGAGAAAGUUUGAUAAAAUCAUAAAAGUUAAGGCGUCUCCAACCGAACGGCAUCUGAACUUUGCAGUCAAAAAUCUGCUCCAACCGAACACUAAAGGCAAACGCUUUAAGCCUUCUUUUCAGUGUCUCAACAGUGAAAUUCAUAUUUGUAAAAAGUUGGCAAUAGCCCGCCCCUGAUGUUGAUGGAUUGUUGUUGCUUUGGAGAUGGAAGUAAAUUAUGGCUCACACUUUAGGAAGUGAGGGAGAUAUGAAAUUGACCUUGAAUCGAACAAACAAUAGGAGACGGCGGCCGGUGGCUGCUGAUGAUGCCCGACACGCAUACCAGACACAAGACGGCGUCGAUUUCACAGCGACGGUGACUACUAAAACGACACGGCGGCGACCGGUGGCUGUUGACAGUGAGCGACAGGUAGACCAGACACGAACUGUAAUAAUUCGGCAAAUAAAUUACUCCCUCUGUCCACAAUUUAAAGCCCUACUUGCCCUUAAAUUUUUGUCCACAAAUUGAAGCCCUAUUAUGCUUUUUUGUAUUUUCCUACUCUCCUUCUUUUCCUAUAUUUAUUACUCUUUUCCAUUAAUGGAUCCACCUUAAAAUACCUUUAUAACUUUUAUAUUCUAUAUUUACUACACUUUAUCACUAGUGGACUCAAAAGGCAAUAAGUAAUGAUGUGCACUCAAAAAUUUAUUGUAAAAUGGAAGUUUUCUCAAUUUCAUUACAAUUUGGAAUGUUAAUGUAACAUCAUUAUUAUCUUGAAUGUUAAUGUAACAUCAGGACUUAUUGCCUUUUGAGUGCACAUCAUUACUAUCUGGAAUGUUAAUGUAACAUGGAAGUUUUCUCAAUUUCUUCCAUGAAGAUGAUACAUAUGGUUAGUUAUUUGAAUUAUUUAUGUUCGCAGUAAUCCUUUUUCCCAACUGAUAUUUCGAAGGGAUAUAUUGUGUUCAUUUCGUUGUUUCAUCAAAUCUAUAAUCUCUAAAGUAUGAGUAAUGCUAUGAUUGCAGAUAUUAUUCUUAUUUUGAUAAGGAAUGUGAUGAUUGCAGGUUGAAGAAAGAUAUGGAAUGUGAGGCAUUGGACAGGGAGAGAUUGCUACAGAGUGAUAUGUGAGUAGUGCAAUCAAGACUCUCGGUUUACCUUAUGUCUAGUCCAACUAGAGCUUGAUUGUGUUAAUCUAGUUUUUUAGUUAUUACUAUUUCCAAUAAGAAAAUUCUUCGCAAAGGGAAAUAAGGGUUAAAAGGCACAUUACUUCAUCAACUUUUAUUAUUCUUUCAAUCAAUAAUACAAUAUGUCUCGAGUAACUAUUCCACCAUAGACUUAC